RNAcentral lists this ribosomal RNA (253 nucleotides) under uncultured bacterium. RNAcentral describes it as "partial 16S ribosomal RNA". It matches the Rfam family "Bacterial small subunit ribosomal RNA", at positions 524 to 776 of the family's 1533-position model. The record is from RNAcentral.
UACGGAGGGUGCAAGCGUUAUCCGGAUUCACUGGGUUUAAAGGGUGUGUAGGCGGAUAUUUAAGUCAGUGGUGAAAUCGCCAGGCUCAACCUGGAAACUGCCAUUGAUACUAUUUAUCUUGAAUUCUGUUGAGGUGGGCGGAAUACAUCAUGUAGCGGUGAAAUGCUUAGAUAUGAUGUAGAAUACCGAUUGCGAAGGCAGCUCACUAAACAGAUAUUGACGCUGAGGCACGAAAGCGUGGGGAUCAAACAGG